GAUGAACGCUGGCGGCGUGCCUAAUACAUGCAAGUCGAGCGAACGGACGAGAAGCUUGCUUCUCUGAUGUUAGCGGCGGACGGGUGAGUAACACGUGGAUAACCUACCUAUAAGACUGGGAUAACUUCGGGAAACCGGAGCUAAUACCGGAUGAUAUUUUGAACCGCAUGGUUCAAAAGUGAAAGACGGUCUUGCUGUCACUUAUAGAUGGAUCCGCGCUGCAUUAGCUAGUUGGUAAGGUAACGGCUUACCAAGGCAACGAUGCAUAGCCGACCUGAGAGGGUGAUCGCCCACCUUGGACCUGGGACACGGUCCAGACCCCUACGGGAGGCAACAGUAGGGAAUCUUCCGCAAUGGGCGAAAGCCUGAGGGAGCAACGCCGCGUGGGUGAUAAAGGUCUUCGGCUCGUAAAACUCUGUUAUUAGGGAAGAAAAUAUGUGUAAGUAACUGUGCACAUCUUGGCGGUACCUAAUCAGAAAGCCACGGCUAACUCCGU
RNAcentral lists this ribosomal RNA (496 nucleotides) under uncultured bacterium. RNAcentral describes it as "partial 16S ribosomal RNA". It matches the Rfam family "Bacterial small subunit ribosomal RNA", at positions 28 to 506 of the family's 1533-position model. The record is from RNAcentral.